This is a long non-coding RNA of Lathyrus oleraceus (garden pea), 6843 nucleotides long. RefSeq lists it as uncharacterized. NCBI's taxonomy places the organism in Eukaryota, Viridiplantae, Streptophyta, Magnoliopsida, Fabales, Fabaceae. The record is from RefSeq and is a predicted model, not a curated record. The transcript has 8 exons.
UUAGUACUAGUAAUUAAGUGAAGUUGAGGCAAGAGAACGAAUUAAAAAUAGAUGCAGAAUUGAAGAGAGAAAUAAUAAGCAAGGAGAAAUAAUUGUACUACUUACUUUUAGUCCCACAUUGACUGCCUAAUUUCAUUGUUUAGUGUUUAUAUACCAUAGUUAAGAGAACCACUAUCGUCCCUUCGGGGACAUCCGAUAAAAUUGGAACGAUACAGAGAAGAUUAGCAUGGCCCCUGCGCAAGGAUGACACGCACAAAUCGAGAAAUGGUCCAAAUUUUUUUGAGAUUUUUUUCCCUGUCUCGUCUUCUUCGCUGCCGUUCAGACAUUGUUGUUAGGGUUUUGCUUUUCUGCAUUUCCUUUUCUCUUUGAUUUUGAGUUUAGGGUUUUGUUUUCUCUUCAAUGCAGGUGGUGUUCGUGACGACGUGACUCCUAUUUCAACCAAGUAUUAGGGUUUUGUUUUCUGAUUUUUUUUUGACUUUUCUCUCCCGUUCAGAUAUUAUUAGGGUUUUGUUUUCUACAUUUCGUUUUCCUUUUUUCUUUGAUUUUGAGUUUCUUUCAAUGCAGGUGGUGUUCAUGACGAGGUGACUCCUACUUCAACCAAGUAUUAUGCAGAGCAAUGAACUGAAGAUAAGUUGCAGGACAGUUAAAUGUUUGUUUUGUCUGUUCGGGCGAAGUUGUUUGACCACAACAGCUCUGAUUAAGGGAAGCUUUGAGUUAUGUUAUUUACUCGAAAUUCAUGUUUAACUGCCAUUUUAUGUGUAGAUUUUGGCUAAACAGAGAACUAGCAAUAGAAGACUUUUCAUAAUUUGGUCAAUAAGUGGUUGUUCAAGCAAGAAACUGUAUGUAAGUAGAUAUCUUCCUUGCACGGAAUUGUAAGACCGCCCAUUGGAUGACAGUAACCGUAUUCCUCUUCAGCUUGGAUAAGCAAUUCUUGAAAUAAAGGCUCGUUCAAGAAUGAUAUUGGAAUCAAGAACCUCCUUGCUUUCUCUCCGACAUACACCGCAAGAUAGCCUUUUGGGACUUCCACUUGUUUGCUAGAUGAUGAUCGUCUAAUACCAGGUUUUGUCUGUUCGGCGAAGUUGUUUGAUUACAACGACUGUGAUUAAGGGAAGCUAAGCCAGAGCCUAGUACUUGGUUUCAACUGAUGGUCCAGCAAAACUUUGAAUUAUGUUUUUUACUUGAAAUUCAUGUUUAACUGCCCUUUUAUGUGUAGAUUUUGGCUUAACCCAGAGAACUAGCAGUAGAAGACUUUUCAUAAUUUGCUCAAUACGUGGUUGUUCAAGCAAGAAACUGUAUGUAAGAAGAUAUCUUCCUUGCACGGAAUUGUAAGCCCGCCCAUUGGAUGACAGUAACCGUAUUCCUCUUCAGCUUGGAUAAGCAAUUCUUGAAAUAAAGGCUCGUUCAAGAAUGAUAUUGGAAUCAAAAACCUCCUUGCUUUAUCUCCAACAUACACCGCAAGAUAGCCUUUUGGGACUUCCACUUGUUUGCCAGAUGAUGGUCGUCUAAUACCAAGUAAGUGAAAACCCAUUCUUGUUUUUGUUUCUUGACAAUAGAAUGAUCUUAAAGAAGUAGUAGAAGACAGAAACGAACUUGAAUUCUGACGCUUCAAGGUAUGAAUGGUUUGUGCUGCUUGUAAACCCAAUGAUGGAUAUAUAUAGAGUUUGAAAACCAAUUGUAUAGUGAAUGAGUUAUUGAAUGGAUGUUAGUGGGAGCUAUGGCUCAUUAAUGAUCACAUGGUACUGUCUUGAAGGCUUUCCUAGAGGACCAUAAAAUGUGAGAUUACAUACCCCACCUUUUGAAAAAGAGACUAGAGAUAACUUACUUAAUAUAAUUCAGACAAGCUCUAAACACAUCAAAUAUCUUGUUCUUGUUUUUGUAAGACAAGUGAUAUCCAACCAAUAAACAAUGCAAUCUUCUUGGAUGCUGCUGCAACGUUGUAUGGACAGACUACUGCCACAUUGUUGAUCUAACCGUAAAAUGUCGCUGAUAUAUCAAUUGGAUAAAUUUAAUCACUGUCGAGUCUUAAGAAAUCACUCAUUUAAUCUUUGAGAAAGACCUCUAGACAGAUUCAUGUGAUCUCUUGUCAACAUUAAGCUGUGUUGUCUAUGUGAAGAGAACAUGUGCCAUGUCUAAUGCAUGUCUGAAAAUAAAUGAGUAGGCAUUUUACAAGCUAGUAUUCAGUUUAACAUAAGCCUUUCAUUCAGAAGAUUGGUUUGAUCUCUAAUAGAACUUAUUGAUCCUUGACAAGAAACUGUUGGAAACUAUAAAAUUAGUGUCCUCCUUCACAACAAUCACAUGUUACUCAAGCAGUCAAACUUAGAUAUACAUUUUUCUUAUGUGACAAGUUCAGCCGGUUCUUCAAAAUAUUUGAAAUUGGUUUCCUUUUACCUUCAACUAUUAGAAAGGCAUCAUUUAGCAGCACCCGGACUUCAUCAAAAGUUACGAAUGUGCCGAAGGGUUAUCUUUCACUGUACGUUGGAGAGCAAAUGAAGCGGUCUGUGAUUCGGAUGUCAUAUUUGAACCAAUGGUCAGCCUCACAAUUCCUUGCACAAGAAGAUGUUUUCUUGCAUAUAACUUCUGGCUACAUUCAAUUUCACAUUCAUUCCACGUUCAAUUUGGAAGAGAAUGACUUCCACAUUCUAUAUAUGCUCGUGUUAUCCGUUUUACAUAUAACAAAUUCAGAGUUCAAGUUCUCACUUUUUCAUCUACUACUUCUUUGAGACCAUUCUACUACUUUGAAAAGAGACAAUGGAAAAAAAGAAAUUGCAGUUCACAUGUUUCUGGGGCUGAAUUGCUGGAUUAGAAAAAAGUCUAUACAGAAGUUAAACCCAUCAAAUAAUAGAAUUCAGAUUUACCACUUAACCCAAUUAUGGAAUGUCUAUCUACGAUGACAAUUAGUUGACGGAUUUUGAGGAUAUUUCUAAUCAGUUGGUUUUUCAUUUUGAGGGGAUGGUGCUAAUACUAUUCAAGUUCACAUGUUUCUGAGGCUGAAUUGCAGGACUAAAAGGAGUCUGUACUGAAGUUAACCACAUCAAAUGUUUCUAACCCAAUUGGUUUUACAUUUUACAUUUUGAGGAAAUUUCCAAUACUGAUAAUAAUUGCUUGGAUACUAGUUUGAUUGAGGAAAUCAUUCCUAGCUUUGUUGAUGGAUAGAACAAUAAUAUGCUUAAUAUUUUCAAUGAAAAGGAGGUGAGGUGUUGAACAUAGUAGGGAGAUUGGUGUAACUAACUAGUACAUAGAAUAGAUUAACUGAAUCCUAACUAACCUUUAGUUAGUUAUCAAUUGGCUAGAUAGAGGUUCAAGUUAGUUACAAGUUACUUGCUCUAUAAGUUAUCAUAUUCAGGUGUAUGCAUGGAUGAUGAUGAGUAGUGAAAAAUUCUGCAACAUAUCUUUCUUCUUCGAUCUUUCUUUCUGCACUUUUACAUUUUUAGCUUGAUUCUUAACAUGGUAUCAUCGACCCCUGAUCAAGUCUCCACUGUUGCACUCACUUAACUCAUCUCUUCCAUCUUGGUUUUCUCUCAGUUUUCUGCAUUGUUCCAAUUGUGUUUUUCUGUGUUAACCAUGCCAGUUGCAAGCUCUGCAAGCAGCCUCAAUGGCAGAACUCCAUCACAUGCCAAUAACAAAGGUUAUCAAACCGAUACCCUCAAUCCCUAUUUCAUGCAUCCCAAUGAAAAUCCUGCUUUGGUUCUGUUUCCCCUUUGCUUUCAAACAAUAAUUAUCAUUCUUGGGCAAGAUCCAUGGCAAUUGCUCUAAGAUCCAAGAACAAACUUCAUUUUAUCAAUGACAGCUUACCUUGACCACUGGAUGAAGAUCACAAUUCCCUUGCUUGGGAUCGAUGCAACACUAUGACCAUGUCAUGGAUUCACAAUUUUUGAAUCAGAUAUUGCUCAAAGUGUAUUAUGGAUGGAUACUGCAGUUGAAAUUUGGAACGAACUGAGAGACCGUUUUAACCAAGGUGGUGUAUUCAGAAUAUCAAAUCUUCAAGAUGAAAUAUGCAACUUGAAACAAGGUGAUUCAUUUAUUUCUUCUUAUUACACAAAGCUUAAGAAAUUGUGGUAAGAAUUGAACAAUUUUCGUCCAAUUCCCGACUGUUCAUGUGAUGCUACUUGCCAAGCUAUCACCAAGAUUCGUGCAUACAAAGAUGGUGAUCAAGUUAUCAGAUUCCUCAAAAGUCUGAAUGAUCAAUAUUCAGCUGUGAGGUCCCAAAUCAUGCUAAUGGAACCACAUCUAACCAUCUGCAGAGUUUACUCUCUCCUUGUUCAACAUGAAAGACAAGCUAUCUUACCUAUUGAUGAAUCAAAGGUAUUAUCUUUUCCUAAUCUCAGUCAACCUCAAAACCAUACCUCCAAAUCCAAUAUCAAUUCUUGUGGUAGAGGCAUUAGAGGUGAUCGAUCAUUUGGUGGAAGAGGCCGAGGUUCACGAAUUUGCACUCAUUGUGGCAUGGCCAACCACACAGUUGAUUCUUGCUUCAAAAAUCAUGGUUUUCCCCACAUUGGAAGCAAGAUGGCACAAUCAACCGUUAUGCAACUAUUACUGACAAAGUAGAGGAAUCUCAAAUUGAUUUCAAUGGAGUAAAUGAGCAAGUUCAAGGUAACUUGAUUUUCACACCAGUCUAGCAUAAAGCAUUGCUGGCUCUCCUUCAGGGAUCCUCAUCUUCCCAGGCUCACAACAUCAUCAUCUGGCAACUCAACUUGAAAGUGACUCAGGAUACUCACUCCAAGAAGAUGAAUGGCACAACUAGAUUAAAUGGUGGAUUGUAUAUCUUAGAUUCUCCCUCAGUUACCUUGUAUCACACUCUAUCAACUCACUUUAUUGAUACCUUACAUAAUCACUCUUUAGACACAUCAUAAAAUUGUAAUCUUUGGCACUUAAGGCUUGGCCACCCCUCAGAUACCAAUUUAAUUUAAUUAAAUAAAUGUUUUCCUUUUGUCAAAUCUGUGAAUUCUGCUAUUCCUUGUGAUGUAUGUUUCUAUGGUAAGCCAAAAAGACUUCCAUUUUCCCUUAGUUCUCAUAUUUCUACUUUUGUUUUUGAUUUAGUGCAUAUGGAUAUUUGGUGCCCCUUAUCCACACCAUCUAUGAUGGGAUAUAGACACUUUCUAGUUGUUGUGCAUGAUAAAAGUAGGUUCCCUUGGUUAUUUCUCAUGAGAUUGAUAUCUGAAGCACCGUCCAUCAUGAAAUCAUUUGAUUCAAGUCACUCUUUACUUAAAGUAUAUUUAUAAUUUAAGAGAGGAUAUUGAAUGUAGGGAGAUUUUGAUAAUCUUUUGAUUAACAAAUACAUAAUAUAAACUUUUAUGUAUAGUGGAAGGGCUGCUAGGAACUUAGACUAAAGGGUUGCCACUAAUUGAAUGCUUUCUGACAACAGCUUCAACGAUAAGUCCAUGUGAAGGGCACGAGAAUUCCUUGUGAUUGUGGAUUCCAUCACCUUCUUCAAACAUCACAAAAAAAUGCAACAUACAAAUACAAUUUAAUCGGUGACUAAGACGUUGUUUUGAGUUUUGUUGACUCAUGUAUGGCCUUGUAAUACAUACCAUACCAGGUUGUUCAAGCAAGAAGCUGUAUGUAAGAAGAUAUCUUCCUUGCACGGAAUUGUAAGACCGCCCAUUGGAUGACAGUAACCGUAUUCCUCUUCAGCUUGGAUAAGCAAUUCUUGAAAUAAAGGCUCGUUCAAGAAUGAUAUUGGAAUCAAGAACCUCCUUGCUUUCUCUCCAACAUAUACCGCAAGAUAGCCUUUUGAGACUUCCACUUGUUUGCUAGAUGAUGAUCGUCUAAUACCAGGGGCACCUAGACAACACCAUGUGAUCUUUCAUCUCAUGCCCCGCAUCAUUUUAAAAAUCAUUUCUCUACCAAAGGGAUUUCAAGAAACUGUUGGAAACUAUAAAUAUAGUGUCCUCCUUCACAACAAUCACAAAUCACUCAAGUAGUCAAACUUAGAUACAUUGUUCUUAUGUGACAAGUUCAGCUGGAUCUUCAAAAUAUUUGAAAUGGGUUUCCCUUUACCUUCAACUAUUAGAAAGGCAUCAUUUAGCAGCACCCGGACUUCAUCAAAAGUUACGAAUGUGCCGAAGGGUUAUCUUUCACUGUAUGUUGGAGAGCAGAUGAAGCGGUUUGUGAUUCAUAUUUGAACCAAUUUUCAUCUAAUGGUCAGCCUCAUAAUUCCUUGCACAAGAUGUUUUCUUGCAUAUAACUUCUGGCUACAUUCAAUUUGGAAGAGAAUGACUUCCACAUUCUAUAUAUGCUCGUUAUCAGUUUCAAAUAUAACAAAUUCAGAAUUCAAGUUAUCACUUUUUCAUCUACUACUUCUUUGAGACCAUUCUACUACUUUGAAAAGAUACAAUGGAAUAAAAAGAAAUUGCAGUUCACAUGUUUUUGGGGCUGAAUUUCAGGACUAAAAAGAGAGUCUGUACAGAAGUUAAGCCCACCUAAUGUUUCUAACCACUUGGUUUUACAUUUUGAGGAAAUUUUCAAUACUAAUAAUUUCUUGGAUAAUAGUUUGAUUGAGGAAACCAUUCCUAGCUUUGUUGAUGGACAGAACAAUAAUAUGCUUUCUAGUAUUUCCAAUGAAGAGGAGGCGAGGUAUAUCAUUUUUGCCAUGAACACUGAUGGAGCUCCAAGUUCAUAUGGGUUUGGUGCUUAUUGAAGGAAGGAAUGUCACCAAUGGCAUUUGUCUUGCUUUUGAGGCUGUUGAUAUGCUUUAACCUAGAUCUUUUGGAGGAAAUAUUUUCAUAAAAGUUGACAUUAUUGAUCAGGAAUUCUUAAUUGAAGUUUUGCAAUUUUUUGGAUUUUGCUCCAAAUUCUAUAACUGGAUUAAAGUGAUCCUUAAAUAAAGCUGCAUGUUUCUUUUCU